This 884-nucleotide ribosomal RNA is filed under the name uncultured bacterium. RNAcentral's name for it is "bacterial SSU rRNA". It matches the Rfam family "Bacterial small subunit ribosomal RNA", at positions 8 to 890 of the family's 1533-position model. The record is from RNAcentral.
AGAGUUUGAUCAUGGCUCAGAGCGAACGCUGGCGGCGUGCUUAACACAUGCAAGUCGAACGCGCAGUUCUCUGUAGCAAUACAGGGGGCGGGCGCGUGGCGAACGGGUGCGUAACACGUGGAUAACCUUCCUUCAGGUGGGGAAUAACCCCGCGAAAGCGGGGCUAAUACCGCAUAACAUGACGAUAGCUCAUGCUGUUGUCUUCAAAGCCGCAAGGCGCCAGAAGAGGGAUCCGCGGCCGAUUAGCUAGUUGGUGAGGUAAUGGCUCACCAAGGCAUUGAUCGGUAGCCGGACUGAGAGGUUGGCCGGCCACACUGGAACUGAGACACGGUCCAGACUCCUACGGGAGGCAGCAGUGGGGAAUCUUGCGCAAUGGGCGAAAGCCUGACGCAGCAACGCCGCGUGGGGGAUGAAGCUUCUCGGAGUGUAAACCCCUUUCGACCCGGACGAAUGCCCGCAAGGGCUUGACGGUACGGGUAUAAGAAGCCCCGGCUAACUACGUGCCAGCAGCCGCAGUAAAACGUAGGGGGCCAGCGUUGCUCGGAAUUACUGGGCGUAAAGGGUCCGUAGGCGGUGUGGCAAGUCGGAAGUGAAAUCUCUGGGCUUAACUCAGAGGCUGCUUCCGAAACUGCUGUGCUAGAGUGCGAGAGAGGCGAGUGGAAUUGCGGGUGUAGCGGUGAAAUGCGUAGAUAUCCGCAGGAACAUCCGAGGCGAAAGCGGCUCGCUGGAUCGCAACUGACGCUGAGGGACGAAAGCUAGGGGAGCAAACAGGAUUAGAUACCCUGGUAGUCCUAGCCCUAAACCAUCAGACUUGGGGUUUGCCCUGUACGGGGCAAGUCCCGUAGCUAACGCGUUAAGUCCUGCGCCUGGGGAGUACGGUCGCA